This 1591-nucleotide ribosomal RNA is filed under the name Rygmostralia sp. NLG-2014. Its description in RNAcentral is "partial 16S ribosomal RNA". Lineage: Eukaryota; Metazoa; Arthropoda; Insecta; Coleoptera; Hydrophilidae. The record is from RNAcentral.
UAAACUAGGAUUAGAUACCCUAUUAUUUUAAAAUGUUAAUAAAAUAAUUAAAUUAGUAUUAGUUAUGUUCUUGAAAAUUAAAAAAUUUGGCGGUAUUUUAGUCUAUUCAGAGGAACCUGUUCUGUAAUCGAUAGUCCACGAUUAAUUGUAUUUAUUUUAAUAAAUUUGUAUAUCAUCGUAGUUGAAUAUUUUAAAAGAAUAUUAAAUAUUCAUAGUUAAUAAUAAUUAAAAAUAUCAGAUCAAGGUGCAGUUUAUAAGUAAAGUUGAAAUGGGUUACAAUAAAAAUAUUUAUAUGGAUUUGUAAAAUGAAAUUUUCUGAGAAGGUGGAUUUGGAAGUAAUAAAGUUAAACUUAUCUUUAUGAUUAUAGCUCUAAAAUGUGUACAUAUUGCCCGUCGCUUUCAUUUAAAAUGGAAUAAGUCGUAACAAAGUAGAAGUACUGGAAAGUGUUUCUGGAAACAAAUUAGAGCUUGAUAAUAAAGCAUUUUAUUUACAUUAAAAAGUUAAUUGUGAGAUUCAAUUUAAUGAAUUUGAAUAAUUAUUAAAGUUUAAUUAAUUGUUAAAUUAUUAUUAUUUUUUAUUAAUUUUAAUUGAAAAAAUAUACGUUAUUAUAGGUAAAUAGUAUUGUGAUAGAAGAUGUUAAAAAUAUUUAAAAGAAAAAUUAAAAUUUGUACCUUGGGUAUCAGGGUUUAUUUAUAAAAUAUAAUGGAUUUUAUAUUCUCGAAAAAAAAAGAGUUAAUUUAAUAUAGAUUUUAUUGUAAAAUAAACAUUUAAAAUAUUUUAUUAGUAAUGAAAUGUUAUUCGUUUUUUUUUAUAUCUAGUUUUCUUAGAAAUGUAUUAAAUACAGUAUUUUAUUUAAAUUGUUUUUCUUUAAAAAUAUUUUUUAAAUUUAAUAAUAAUAGUUAUAGGGAUAAGCUAAUAAUUAAAUUUAUAUAAAUAAAUAAAAAAUUAAUUUUAAAUAGGAUUAGAAAUUUUUAGUUUUUAUAGUUUGUUGUAAUAAGAAUUUAUUUUUUUUUAUUAUUUUUAUUUAUUUUAUAUUGUUUAUAAGAAAUUAAAAUUAAAUUAUAAAUUUUUAGAUAUAAUGGUAAAAUUAGUAUUAUUAAAUUUAUUGUAUUUUAAGAAUUAAAGGUUAAUAAAAGGAAUUCGGCAAAUAUCUUUUUCACCUGUUUAUUAAAAACAUGGCUUUUUGAGUAAGAUUUAAAGUCUGGCCUGCCCAGUGAGUAUUUAAAUGGCUGCAGUAUUUUGACUGUACAAAGGUAGCAUAAUCAUUAGUUUUUUAAUUGAAAGCUUGUAUGAAUGGUUUCAUGAGAAAAGUUCUGUCUAUAGUUAAAUUUUUAUAGAAAUUUAUUUUUAAGUUAAAAAGCUUAAAUAUUUUUAAAAGACGAGAAGACCCUAUAGAGUUUUAUAAAUUUAUUUAUUAUAAAUUAUGAAGAAUAUAUUUUUGUAUUUUAUAAGUUUAUUUGGUUGGGGUGAUCUAAAAAUUUAAAAAACUUUUUAUUUUUUAUACAUAAAUAAGUGAAUAAUUGAUCCAUUAAUAAUGAUUAUAAGAUUAAAUUACCUUAGGGAUAACAGCGUAAUUUUUUUGGAAAGUUU